GAUGAAGAACGUAGUGAAAUGCGAUACUUGGUGUGAAUUACAGAAUCCCGUGAACCAUCGAGUCUUUGAACGCAAGUUGCGCCCGAAGCCAUCAGGUUGAGGGCACGUCUGCCUGGGCGUCACACAUCGUUGCCCAAUGCCUAUUGCAGUGCAAUAGGAAUUUCUAGGGCGAAUGAUGGCUUCCCGUGAGCGUUGUUGCCUCGCGGUUGGUUGAAAAUCGAGUCCUUGGUAGGGUGUGCCAUGGUAGAUGGUGGUCGAGUUAGAACGAUACCGAUCAUGUGCAUGCUCCCCAAAAUAUGGCCUCUAUGACCCACACGCGUCUUUUGACGCUCAUGACGAGACCUCAGGUCAGGCGGGGCUACCCGCUGAAUUUAAGCAUAUCAAUAAGCGGAGGA
This 395-nucleotide unclassified non-coding RNA is filed under the name soil metagenome. RNAcentral's name for it is "partial contains 5.8S ribosomal RNA, internal transcribed spacer 2, and large subunit ribosomal RNA". The stretch from base 1 to 122 matches the Rfam family "5.8S ribosomal RNA", at positions 35 to 154 of the family's 154-position model. The record is from RNAcentral.